Long non-coding RNA from Eurypyga helias (sunbittern), 369 nucleotides. RefSeq lists it as uncharacterized. Lineage: Eukaryota; Metazoa; Chordata; Aves; Eurypygiformes; Eurypygidae. The record is from RefSeq and is a predicted model, not a curated record. The transcript is spliced from 2 exons.
AGUUCUUUGUAGGAGAGAACAUGAAUCCAGAUGGUAUGGUGGCUCUCCUGGAUUUCCGUGAGGAUGGUGUGACCCCAUAUAUGAUUUUCUUCAAGGAUGGCUUGGAAAUUGAGAAAUGUUAACAAAUGGGACACGGUAUGGUUUUGGAUCACUUCUCUUCAUAGCUGGCUGCUGUUUCUUCUUCAUCGGCACAACACCGGGAAUUGGCAAUGGCUAACAACUGGACUGAUGUCAUCUUGAGCUUUAUUCACUUAUUUUGACCCUGAUUUGGAGUGGAGGCAUUUGUUUUAAAAAAAAAAAAAACAAACCAACCCCCAAACAUCUUGUCUUGUAGAUUGUCUAAAAUAAAACUCAUGUAAACCCAUUCUA